GUCGGUGUGGCCGAGCGGUCUAAGGCUCUGCCUUCAGGUCGCAGUCCAGUCUUGUUUGCGUGGGUUCGAAUCCCACUUCUGAUA
RNAcentral lists this transfer RNA (84 nucleotides) under Araneus ventricosus. It matches the Rfam family "tRNA". From Rfam's summary of the family: Transfer RNA (tRNA) molecules are approximately 80 nucleotides in length. Lineage: Eukaryota; Metazoa; Arthropoda; Arachnida; Araneae; Araneidae. The record is from Rfam by way of RNAcentral.